This 377-nucleotide ribosomal RNA is filed under the name uncultured eukaryote. Its description in RNAcentral is "partial 18S ribosomal RNA". It matches the Rfam family "Eukaryotic small subunit ribosomal RNA", at positions 592 to 976 of the family's 1831-position model. The record is from RNAcentral.
CAAUAGCGUAUAUUUAAGUUGCUGCAGUUAAAAAGCUCGUAGUUGGAUUUCGGGUGGGAAUGGCCGGUCCGCCGUUUCGGUGUGCACUUGCUACGCCCACCUUGCUGCCGGGGACGUGCUCUUGAGUUCACGCUCGGGACACGGAGUCGGCGAGGUUACUUUGAGUAAAUUAGAGUGUUCAACGCAGGCCUACGCUCUGAAUACAUUAGCAUGGAAUAACACGAUAGGACUCUGGCCUAUCUUGUUGGUCUGUAGGACCGGAGUAAUGAUUAAGAGGGACAGUCGGGGGCAUUCGUAUUUCAUUGUCAGAGGUGAAAUUCUUGGAUUUAUGAAAGACGAACUACUGCGAAAGCAUUUGCCAAGGAUGUUUUCAUUAA